GAAGGAGAUGUAGCUAGCCACCCUCACGCAGACUUCCAGGACAUCAUUAAGGAAAUUCACUCACUUAAAGCAGAGUUUAAAACCGAGUUUGCCACGUUUAAGAAAGACAUCACACAAGAAAUGAAGGACGAAUUCGACAGCUUCAAGAAAGACAUUAAUACAAAGCUGGCAGAAACUGCGAACGAGCUAGCUAGCCAUGAGACCAGACUCGAAGAAGCUGAGGAAAGACUGGAAGAGAUGGAAAGGUGGAAUUUGGCCGCAAAAGACGCUCUAAUCCAGUCGCUUCAGCAACAACGGAAUAUUCAGACGAAACUGGCUGACUUGGAAGGCCGUAGCCGACGGAACAACAUUCGCAUUUUCGGCCUAAAAGAGGGCUCUGAAGGAAACUCUGUGCUGCAGUGUGUGGAGGACUUGUUGAGAGCUGAGCUUUCGCUCCCGCCGGAUUCUGCUCUAAAUAUUCAGCGGGCGCACAGAGCUCUGGUGCCAAAACCCGGACCAGAAAAACCUCCGCGAUCGGUGGUGGUUAAUUUUCUUCAGUUCUCAACCAAGGAGAUGGUGCUGAAGGCAGCGUGGAAGAAAAAGGUGGUACAUCAGGAUAAGCAGCUUUUCUUUGAUCAUGACUACGCUGCCGACGUGGUUCAAAAGAGGAAGGAAUACGCUGGAAUUAAGAAAGCCUUAAAAGAAAGAGGAAUUCGCUUCCAGACGCCUCUGACCAGAAUCAGGAUCCACUGGGAGAGCGGCGCCAGGACAUAUGACAGUGGCCGGGCGGCGGCGGAGGAGCUAAGGAGGAGAGGAAUACAGGCGGAGGUGCCGCAGCGGAGCGGGGAAAGCACGAUGCUGGAGGAGCGACUGCAAAAUGCAUUGGGAUGGCAGCGAUCUAACACCGAGAACUUAUAAGUGAGGAUACAAACAUUUGAAUCCGGUGGAAAUGACUGAACAGUAGAACUCUGAAACUAAAGGUUCAUUACUCUGUUACUUUUCAAGGCAAGGUAGACCGGAAAGUGGUAGGUUUUCUUUUCUUUUCUUUUUUCUUAAGGAACCUAUGUUGGAUCUCACGGGGGCCCCUAAUCUGAAAGGGAUAUACCCCACGAACCACAGGGACGCUGUGGGUAAGAAAUACGUAUUUUCAGUUUCUCUUAAGUUUCUUGUUAUCUUGUUCCAAGUUCUUAGAGUUAGUGUGGGAUGCUAUGAUAGUGAUAAGCCAAAAAUAAAGCAAAACUUAACAGUGAAAAGAUGAGGAAUAUAACGCUGGUGUCAAUGACUGUCAAUGGGAUGAAUAACCCAAUUAAAAGAAGCAAAGUGAUAUUCAAAAUGAGAAAGCUUAAUGCCAAUGUAAUAUAUCUUCAGGAAACACAUUUGUCGCAGGAAGAGCAUGAUAAAUUGAAGAAAUUUGGGUACAGAAAUUCUUACUAUAGUACUUGCAAGAAAAGUCGUAAAAGGGGGGUAGCAAUACUUGUUA
This is a long non-coding RNA of Astatotilapia calliptera (eastern happy), 1459 nucleotides long. The record is from Ensembl. Lineage: Eukaryota; Metazoa; Chordata; Actinopteri; Cichliformes; Cichlidae.